This 109-nucleotide Y RNA is filed under the name Saimiri boliviensis boliviensis (Bolivian squirrel monkey). RNAcentral's name for it is "Y RNA (ENSSBOG00000009258.1)". It matches the Rfam family "Y RNA". Rfam says of the family: Y RNAs are components of the Ro ribonucleoprotein particle (Ro RNP), in association with Ro60 and La proteins. The Y RNAs and Ro60 and La proteins are well conserved, but the function of the Ro RNP is not known. Lineage: Eukaryota; Metazoa; Chordata; Mammalia; Primates; Cebidae. The record is from Rfam by way of RNAcentral.
GGCUGGUCCGAAGGUAGUGAGUUAUCUCAAUUGAUUGUUCACAGUUACAGAUCGAACUCCUUGUUCUAUUCUUUCCCCCCUUCUCACUACUGUACUUGACUAGUCUAAA